GACUCAUUCUGAAGAUGACUCUGCAAGCAUGGAGUUCAUUCCAGAGGAGGUUAGAAUCACUCAGCAUGAAGAGAGGGUGUAACAGGAUGUUGUCUCUGCUGAGGAAGUGGGGCUGCCACCCGAUGGAUUGGAUGGAUUGUCGGUCAUCCCCGCAGGAGAGGCUGGGCCAGGUUGUGGUGCGUCCAACCCCCAGCCCUCUGGGCAGACCGGUUGUGAUCUAAGUCAUUUCAAGGGUUUCUCAAUGGACCGAUUGCCAGAGGUUGGGGUGUCAAGAAUUUGGGGUAUCAAGGUUAAGUACAAAACAUGGAUCUUUGUCUGACAAGACAGGCUGGCCGCUGACUGUUAAAUACUUCCCCACAAAAGGGACAAGCCCGGAGCCAGGUUACCGGCCCACACCGCAAGACAGGCUUUCUUUUAGGAAAUGGACAAAGCUCUAUGACCAGAACAAGCACUUUGGGGAAUUUAAAUUUGCUUUCCCUGACACGACUCCACUUUCAUCACUACCCCUGAACUUAAGGGGCAUCCAAACCUCAGUCUCAGCAGUUACACUGCACAGAGGAUCUUCAGGGCAGUGAAGCUACUCUGCAUGGCACUGUCAUGGUGGAUAAGAGUCAGUGUACAUCUGUGCAGACCCAGAGGAUGAACAACACCUAGAGCGAGCCCUCGUGUAAACCACGGACUCCAGGCAAUGAAGACGUGUCCAUGUGGGUUCACCAAUGGUAACAAAUGCACCACACUUGCUGGUGGGGGGUGGCUAUGCGUGCAGGGGAGAGGGGACAGGCAGCGAAUGGCAGGUGUCUGUACCUUCUGUG
RNAcentral lists this long non-coding RNA (812 nucleotides) under Homo sapiens (human). Its description in RNAcentral is "LHRI_LNC1374.1". The record is from RNAcentral. Lineage: Eukaryota; Metazoa; Chordata; Mammalia; Primates; Hominidae.